RNAcentral lists this ribosomal RNA (450 nucleotides) under uncultured bacterium. RNAcentral describes it as "partial 16S ribosomal RNA". It matches the Rfam family "Bacterial small subunit ribosomal RNA", at positions 354 to 796 of the family's 1533-position model. The record is from RNAcentral.
GUGGGGAAUUUUGGACAAUGGGCGCAAGCCUGAUCCAGCCAUUCCGCGUGCAGGAUGAAGGCCUUCGGGUUGUAAACUGCUUUUGUACGGAACGAAAAGCCUCUGGUUAAUACCCGGGGGUCAUGACGGUACCGUAAGAAUAAGCACCGGCUAACUACGUGCCAGCAGCCGCGGUAAUACGUAGGGUGCAAGCGUUAAUCGGAAUUACUGGGCGUAAAGCGUGCGCAGGCGGUUUUGUAAGACAGACGUGAAAUCCCCGGGCUCAACCUGGGAAUGGCGUUUGUGACUGCAAAGCUGGAGUGCGGCAGAGGGGGAUGGAAUUCCGCGUGUAGCAGUGAAAUGCGUAGAUAUGCGGAGGAACACCGAUGGCGAAGGCAAUCCCCUGGGCCUGCACUGACGCUCAUGCACGAAAGCGUGGGGAGCAAACAGGAUUAGAAACCCCAGUAGUCC